Molecule: long non-coding RNA, 215 nt
Filed under: Elaeis guineensis (African oil palm)
Lineage: Eukaryota; Viridiplantae; Streptophyta; Magnoliopsida; Arecales; Arecaceae
Description: long non-coding RNA (EGUI_LNC062703)
Source: RNAcentral
CUGCAAAGAUAAUAGCACCAUAGCACUUGCUAAGGAGCUUAGGUCUCAUCAGAUAUCCGAACACAUAAAACAGCAGAAUAUGUGAUUACCUCAAGUAAAAAUAUAUAAAGGUGCAGAGAGUAAACUCUACAUAUGAUGUGGAUGACCCACUGGUAAGUCACUUGGCUAGCCUAAGACUAUAGCUUGUCUUGUGAAGAUAGGGCUUGGUACAUGGU